AGUAACACGUGGGGAACCUGCCCCAUAGUCUGGGAUACCACUGAAACAGGUGCUAAUACCGGAUAAGAAAGCAGAUCGCAUGAUCAGCUUUUAAAAGCGGCGUAAGCUGUCGCUAUGGGAUGGCCCCGCGGUGCAUUAGCUAGUUGGUAAGGUAAAGGCUUACCAAGGCGAUGAUGCAUAGCCGAGUUGAGAGACUGAUCGGCCACAUUGGGACUGAGACACGGCCCAAACUCCUACGGGAGGCAGCAGUAGGGAAUCUUCCACAAUGGACGCAAGUCUGAUGGAGCAACGCCGCGUGAGUGAAGAAGGUUUUCGGAUCGUAAAGCUCUGUUGUUGGUGAAGAAGGAUAGAGGUAGUAACUGGCCUUUAUUUGACGGUAAUCAACCAGAAAGUCACGGCUAACUACGUGCCAGCAGCCGCGGUAAUACGUAGGUGGCAAGCGUUGUCCGGAUUUAUUGGGCGUAAAGCGAGCGCAGGCGGAAGAAUAAGUCUGAUGUGAAAGCCCUCGGCUUAACCGAGGAACUGCAUCGGAAACUGUUUUUCUUGAGUGCAGAAGAGGAGAGUGGAACUCCAUGUGUAGCGGUGGAAUGCGUAGAUAUAUGAAGAACACCAGUGGCGAAGGCGGCUCUCUGGUCUGCAACUGACGCUGAGGCUCGAAAGCAUGGGUAG
RNAcentral lists this ribosomal RNA (669 nucleotides) under Lactobacillus crispatus. RNAcentral's name for it is "bacterial SSU rRNA". It matches the Rfam family "Bacterial small subunit ribosomal RNA", at positions 109 to 768 of the family's 1533-position model. Lineage: Bacteria; Bacillati; Bacillota; Bacilli; Lactobacillales; Lactobacillaceae. The record is from RNAcentral.